RNAcentral lists this unclassified non-coding RNA (219 nucleotides) under plant metagenome. RNAcentral describes it as "partial contains small subunit ribosomal RNA, internal transcribed spacer 1, and 5.8S ribosomal RNA". The record is from RNAcentral.
UCUCCGUUGGUGAACCAGCGGAGGGAUCAUUACAGAGUUGCAAAACUCCCAAACCCUUGUGAACAUACCCGUUACAGUUGCUUCGGUGGGCGGCCCCAGGGCGGGGCCGCAGCCUCUUCUCACGAGGCGCCCGCCGGAGGUAUAUAACUCUUUGUAUAUGGUCUCUCUGAGUAAAUUUAUAAUAAGUCAAAACUUUUAACAACGGAUCUCUUGGUUCUG